GGAAAUUUUUUUUACCAAUAAGUGACCUAAAUGUGUGUGUUGGCAGUUAAAAGAUUGAAAACUUUGUUCUCUUUGCCAAACAUACCCCUUACUCAUCUUCAAUUUUAGGAAAUUACUGUAUGGACACGAUGAGGCAGAAGGAGUGCCUAACCUCGGCCAGAUGGCUCUUGUUCUUCUCGCUUGCACACGUGUUCCUGCCCCAUCUGUGGGCUCAGUGGGUCAGUGUCCUGGGCAAAGAGGCCAAGGACAGUACUGGUCACCUCUCCGGGCCUUGGUCUCUCAGCUGUAAAACAGAAGGCUUUGAAAAAAUGAUUUUGAAGCUCUCUCUCAGCUCUGUCCUGACGUGACUUUGAGCAGGCGAAUGACUAUUUCUAUUCUCCGAUGAAGCUGUCCUGGCAAACCUGAGGGGGCAACCUUGGGAUGUCCGCUGUGCUCUGGGCUUGGGGAAGGGCAGUUGGAAGAGAAGGAGUGGAGGGAAACUAAACACUCUCUAAAAUGAUCAUGAACUGACAGCGGCCAGGACUUGUCGGGGGAGCAGAGCCCCACCACACAUAGUGCGCAGCCCAAGCCCACGCCAGCUUGUAGAAGGGCCCGUGCAGCCAACACCUCUCUGAACCCAUGUGUUCUCUUUCCCGAGGGGCAGCCUGCUUCAUGUGGAUGUCCAGGCAGCUGACAUCUGCGAGACCUUCACGCCGAGAGCUGAGGCAAACCGGGCCCGCUGGUUACUGGCCUCGGUGAUAUUUCGAGAUGCAUCUAGCAGGGUUCUGCGUUCUAGAGCUGUACUGUCCAACAUGGUAGCCACUCGCUACAUGUGGCUUUUAAAAUUCACACUUAAAUUAAUUAAGAUGAAAUAAAAUUAUGAAGUCAAUUCCUGAGUCACACUAUCACAUUUCAAGUAUCCUUGUACACACAUGGCUGUGGCUUGUAGUUGCCACAUUGGACAGCUCAAGUAAAGAACAUUCCGUCCUCACAGAAAGUUCCAUCGGACAGAAUGUCCUGGCAAUAUGUUCUUACAGGGUGAAAAGGAUGAGAGAUUUGAUAUCAAAGACCUGGGUUCAAGUCUCAGCUCCCCGCACACCAAGUUUAUGAGAGUUGCUUAGUCUGUUUCGGC
RNAcentral lists this long non-coding RNA (1111 nucleotides) under Equus caballus (horse). RNAcentral's name for it is "lncRNA (ENSECAG00000057308.1)". Lineage: Eukaryota; Metazoa; Chordata; Mammalia; Perissodactyla; Equidae. The record is from RNAcentral.